AGAGCAUCCCGACCCUGCCCGCCGCACCCGGGCGCGCCGCCGGACCCUCCCCUGCGCGCCCGGAGCUUCCCCCGCGUAGUGCCGGGGCGGGCGCGGGCGCGCGUGUGGAUGGUGGCGUGGGGCUGGCCUGACUCUCGCGUCUUCCCUUGCGUGGUUUGGCUCCGUUCUGUAUAUCCGAUAUCUGGAGAUGCUGUAGGUAUCCCCCUCACCGUUAGGUACCUCGCCAUAAUACCCGUACUCUCUUCCCCCCACCCUAGUCCCUCAGGUAGAGGUGGCGUGCAGGAGUGGUUUUCAUUGUCAUUCUCCCCGUCCUAAAGCAAUCACUGUGACCCUUGUUUUCCUGUUUUGAUAAGCGGAGUGGUGACUAACUAUGAAGGAGAAAACUGCAAAGAUGAUGGGAUGGUCUAGUGAACCUUUUAAAAGGCUUCCUGCUCUUUAGUUUGUUGCUUUUUGUGUUAUGUAAUUAAGUAGGAUAUUGAGACUGGAAGUUCUGUUGAUAUUAAAGAAAGAUUUCAUAAUGAUUGACAGCUUCUAAUGUGAUACUUUAAAAUUAAAUUGGACAGCUAUCCUUGUUGAAGCUGGAAGAUUCUUGGUCAAGCUGUGGUCCUUGUCAGGAAGACUACGCUCUUGUUUUUCCUCCCUUCAUAGCCAGGCAAUCCUUAGUAUUCAGUAACUGAAGACUGCUUUCUUCGGAACUAGAGAGAGCAUGACAGAAUGCUUCCAAAUGCUCAUUUAGUUUGUGAUGUUUAAUUUGUUGUAUAGAAAUUUUCUCUUUUACCUGUUUAUGUAGAGCUUAUAUAAUGACGUAAUGUAACACUUCUCUGACUGAUGCAUAUUUUAAGAUGUGCAGAUUUGUAGAAGAAAUCCUAGUUCUUUCUUAGGAAUUGUGUUUUCUACAAGGCCAUGGUCCAAGGAAAAAGAAAGUUUGGCAUGCGUUUAGGGAAAAGAGGAUCAGAUCUGAGGGCUGGCCAUUGAGGACCAUGGCCAUGUUCUUUGAGAAUAUCUAAUCCAUGCAUUACACUUUGCUGCUCACUUCUAAGUCGUGAUGCUCCUUCUGAAGCACACAAGUACAGGAAAAGGAGAGGUCUUCUCUAUUCUGUAUUGGAUGAUGUCUGUAACGUUCUGUCUCUACAGAUUCUUGAGCAGUGUGUUUCCAGUUUCUCUGUUAUCUCAUAUUUCCUCUAUUUUUAAGCUUUAUUUCUUUAACUAGUUUUGUACUUGCUUCUGUUGUUAAUACAGAUCAGGUCUUGCCAUGACUAUUGUCAGUUUCAUACUUCUUUGAAGACUUAAAGAGGGAGUUGUAAAGCUGACCAGGGUCUUGAUGGUUUUCACUCAUUUUGUGGUAGGCAAAUAUUUGCAGUAUAAACAAUUAUAUUGGUUAAAACUUCCUAGCUGAAACAUGAUAUAAAGUGACAAAUGAAUGCUUAUUUUCAAUACAAAACUGCAUUAAAAAAAAUAAUCCGCUGACGACACCACCACCACCUCCCUC
Long non-coding RNA from Falco peregrinus (peregrine falcon), 1489 nucleotides. RefSeq lists it as uncharacterized. The transcript is spliced from 2 exons. Lineage: Eukaryota; Metazoa; Chordata; Aves; Falconiformes; Falconidae. The record is from RefSeq and is a predicted model, not a curated record.